RNAcentral lists this transfer RNA (77 nucleotides) under Celeribacter halophilus. Its description in RNAcentral is "tRNA-Arg". It matches the Rfam family "tRNA". Rfam says of the family: Transfer RNA (tRNA) molecules are approximately 80 nucleotides in length. Their secondary structure includes four short double-helical elements and three loops (D, anti-codon, and T loops). The record is from RNAcentral. Lineage: Bacteria; Pseudomonadati; Pseudomonadota; Alphaproteobacteria; Rhodobacterales; Roseobacteraceae. RNAcentral also lists the same sequence under 1 other name.
GGGCCGUUAGCUCAUCUGGAUAGAGCGCCAAAUUCCUAAUUUGGAGGCAGCAGGUUCGAGUCCCGCACGGCCCACCA